UCAGAACUUAGAUUUGCCUCAGGAAGAAUUAGAUUAUCCUUUGAGCAUAGAGAUUGCAAAUAGGGAAGUGAUUCCUGUUAGGUUAAUAUAUAAGAAUUAUAGAGUGGUUAUAAAGGGUCAAGAGAUGAUGGUAGACUUGAUACCAAUUAGACUGGGUGAGUUUGAUGUUAUCCUGGGAAUGGAUUAGUUAUUCAAUCAUGGAGAAG
This 206-nucleotide long non-coding RNA is filed under the name Panax ginseng (ginseng). RNAcentral describes it as "long non-coding RNA (PGIN_LNC002134)". Lineage: Eukaryota; Viridiplantae; Streptophyta; Magnoliopsida; Apiales; Araliaceae. The record is from RNAcentral.